GUGCUGGCUUCAGUGUACAUAUACCAAAAUUGGGUAGUUGCCAGGAGGAUUAGCAUGGCCCCUAUGCAAGAAUGACACGCAUAUUUGUGAAGCGUUCCAUAUUUUU
Molecule: small nuclear RNA, 106 nt
Organism: Cynocephalus volans (Philippine flying lemur)
Lineage: Eukaryota; Metazoa; Chordata; Mammalia; Dermoptera; Cynocephalidae
Source: RefSeq, a predicted model, not a curated record